Molecule: transfer RNA, 46 nt
Filed under: Systellura longirostris
Lineage: Eukaryota; Metazoa; Chordata; Aves; Caprimulgiformes; Caprimulgidae
Description: tRNA-Leu
Source: RNAcentral
CUUUUAAAGGAUAACAGUAAUCCACUGGUCUUAGGAACCACCCAUC